Molecule: ribosomal RNA, 253 nt
Filed under: uncultured bacterium
Lineage: Bacteria
Description: partial 16S ribosomal RNA
Rfam family: Bacterial small subunit ribosomal RNA
Source: RNAcentral
UACGUAGGGUGCGAGCGUUAAUCGGAAUUACUGGGCGUAAAGCGUGCGCAGGCGGUUCGUUAAGUCAGAUGUGAAAGCCCCGGGCUCAACCUGGGAACUGCAUUUGAAACUGGCGGGCUUGAGUAUGGCAGAGGGGGGUGGAAUUCCGCGUGUAGCAGUGAAAUGCGUAGAGAUGCGGAGGAACACCUAUUGCGAAGGCAGCUCGCUGGGACGUUACUGACGCUGAGACGCGAAAGCGUGGGGAGCAAACAGG